AGAUCAUGCAGGACCCUGAAGAUAACAGAAAGGGCUCUUCAUUCUGUUAUUUUCAGUAAGAUGGAAGAGAAUUUGGGGGUUAAAGGUGAGGACUGGCAUGGCCUAAAGUGUGUUUUAAUAGGAUCACUGUGACUUCUGUGCUAAAAGCAGACUGCAAGGGACAGAAGCUGAAGCAGGAGGAGGGAAAAUAGAGAAGAGUAAGAAAAAGUGAUGGAGGAAGGAAGAGGAAAAGAAGCAAGGAUCCAAAAUGCAAAUGUGGGACAUUUUAGAAGAGCAGAACGUUGCAUUUCAGCCUUCCUGUCUGAUAUAACCCAUCUGGUGACUGCAUUCAAAAGAGCCCUACCAAGAAUAUUUUCAUGGAGUUAUUUUUCCACUGUGUAUUUCACACUUCAUCUUUGCAGGAGAAUGGAUGGAUUUACUUGGCACGUAGCAGGGGACAGUCUGUGGAAAGAAGUGAGAAGGAUAAUCCAAUAGCAAAAGUGAGGGGUGAUGAAGAGUGAAAGGUACCAACGUCCCCUUCCGCAUAUUCCUCUCCACUCUCUCAGUAUUGGAAUCUAAGUCUGAAGUUUUAGACAAGGCUCAGGGACGGCUUAAACUGUAGAUGCAGUUCCCUUCUCUAGUCCCAAAGGCUCCCAGUCAGCCCUAGGCCUUGUGUAGGGAGCUUCCAAAUGCCUACUCAAGGUUUAAUUAAUUUUCUGCAAAAAAUGAUUGGUUGACAUGACAGCAAUAAACAUCAAAUUCCAUUAAUUAAUACUGAGACAUCAGUGUCCACGCUGCUUCUCAAUUACACAUUCAGAGGCAGCCACGCUUAUGCUGGCAUCAAUUUGGUCGUGAAGCCCAGUAAGGGCUGUUAAAAUGGAAAGAGGACCAAGGGGAGGGAGGGGUAGGGGGGUGGCAUCUGUUCUUAUGCAGAGAUAAUCAGCUUGGAAGAAUUCACACUCCAAAGCCCACUCCCCAGAGAAGGGUUUAAGAGACCUAGAUGAAAGGAUUUAAAUUUGGUUGGGUGAGGCAUUUUCAUUUUGCUGAUGGCCUGGAAGGGAACUAUCAGCUUGAUGAAAACAAAGCUUCCCUCGGGUUCUAAGACAUAUUCUUCAAACUGGCUCCCCUCCCAUUGUUCUUUCUUUCUCUCUUUCUUUUUUUUUUUUUUUUUAUUAGAUGAACUCAUUUAUUUGACAUAUUAAAUUAGACAAAGAAAUGUAUAUGUAACCAGAUAAAAACAAUCACAUUCUCAUACUACUUGAACACACAGCAGUGGUCAAAAAUAAUGGAUUGUAAAAUGGACCCCAGGAUUUAAUGCAAAAACCACCCCAUACGAGGAGCUACAGUCAUCUCCAAUUUCAUGUUAAUUCCGAAGAGAGUCAAAGGGGAACAAAAAGCAAUCUUUGCUUCUUCCACUCAAGAAAAAACCCUAAAGGGACCACAGCUCCCAUCAGGCACAUGCUUUAGGGCCUGGAGACAAAGUGAAAUGUUCUCAUGCACACAUGAAGGGUUUGGUCAUGGAGAUAAAGCAAUGUGAUUAAAUCUUGAUAGAUUUUUGUUUUAAGAGUGAAAAGAAAAAAAAAAAAAACUGGCCUUGUUUACCUGGUUACAAAGAGUGCUGUUGGUAAUCCCUGGUAAAUUAGCAUCUUGAUGAGCAUAUUUUCCCUCCCAGGAUGAAGGCACCAAGGAAGAAUCUAUUUGAGGCCGUCUCCGGCCCAUUCCCACAUGGUGGCUCCAUCCCUACCCCUUCAUAAGCUCUGCCCCUGGAAGCAGUUGUUUCAUUAUUCCAGAAAUUUUAUGAUAAUUGUUUGUGACUUCAAUUUAGAGAUUAUAAAAAUAAAACCCCAGCCCCUAUUCCAGAAAUUUUAUGAUAAUUGUUUGUGACUUCAAUUUAGAGAUUAUAAAAAUAAAACCCUAGCCCCACCCAGCCUCAGAGGACAAUAGGCAAAGUUGAUCAUUGUUACAUUUCUUCCAUACCUUUAUAGGGAAGUAUUAUUCCCUUAUUAAUAAUUUAAUGAUCUUUUCCACUUUAAGGAUGGAGAGACAAAGACCCAAAAAGUGAAGCAGUUUGCCCAAAGUCACUCUCCAUAUGGGUUACAGGUCCCUAAUAGAUACUGAGUGUUCAGAACAAGGGAGCAACGGAAGGGGGUGGGCUGAAACAAGAACAUGCUUACUGCAUGCUCCAGCUGGGCCUGGAGGCUCCAGGUGCAGAGGCUGAUGGAGUUAAGAUAGGGAGGACUCUUUAUUAUGAUUUAUUUCUGUCACCAUGUUUCAAAAGGUUGGAGAGAAGGUGACUGGCCUAGACUAAAAAGUUGGAGCUGCACAGAUAGAAAUUAAAUGGUAGAGGUUAGGAUGUAAUGAUUUUGGAUUCAGAUAUCCUCUGGUUAUAAAAAAAUAAUGAAGAGAAAAGAAAAGGCCAAUCUGACACAAAGGAUUGGACCUAAUGCUGAGAAAGGAGUCAAAAUAUUUCUUUCUAUUCCCAGGCCCCAUCACUAACUUGCAGAACAAUCUUGAUCACCUCGCUUAAUCUCUCUGAUCCACAAUCUCCCAUUUGUUUGAGGAUACUUGGUUAAACCUGCUCUGUUAUUGGGGUUGAGAUGGGAUAAGAAUCAAAUGGCAUUUGUUGAGCAGAAAACUCCAUUCAUUUAAAAAGACCUAUACAUGGGGUGGAAGUUGGUUAUCUACCACUUAGAGAAUAAUGGCUAGGGCUAAUGAGCUUUUAAUAUGUCCCAGGCACUAGGCUAGAUAUUUGGCAAACUAGUCCAUUCAAUCUUCACAAAUAUCCUGUGAAGUAAGUACUAGCAUUGCUCUAGGUUGCAAGAUGAGGAAACUGAGGCUCAGAGAUGUCAAGAUACUUGCCUGAGAGUUGCACAACAAGUAGGUGGCUGAGCUGAGAUUGAAAACAAAAUUUGUCUAAUUCUGGAGCUUGAGCACUCACACUCUGGGCCAUUCCACACGGCAAAAGCACUGUAGUGUAAUUCAGAAAAAGUCAUCACUCGCCUCCAUUGAACACUAGGUGAAAAACAUCAAAUGGGAGCAUACACUUGCAAAAAGAGAACAAUUUCUGGCCCUAAACAACCUCCUAUUUUCCCCAAUCAGUACAUUUUCAAUCCCACGUCUCAGAUGAGAGCCUACAGGGAAAGAAAGCAAGUAGAGAGGUUUGGAGCAGACAUAGCCCUGAAACAUCCUGAAGGCUCUAUGGAUCAGCACAUGGCUCCUUCUGCUUGAGUUCAUUCCAAACAAAUCCAUUAAAAGCACCAUCUUAAUGAAUAUUUUAUACAGUUACGACAUAGUGAGUCCCAUUUAGGAGGGGCUCGUACUAAAGGCUGAGACAAUGAACUACUCAAAUAGCCAACUAAUCAGCAAGGCCAAUAGAAAUCUGGUCGAGGGCACAAUAGUUUCACAGAAAGAAAAAAAAUGAAAGCCAUAUACCCUCUUCUUGCUGGUUUAAGAUUAAAAAAAAAAAAAAAAAACUCUACCUACCAUGUUCAAAUACUGCCAGCCAUUAGGAAAAGUCAGCUGUUUGAGUAAUUCAUUUGUUUUCCUUGGCCCCUUCACAGCUUCUGAAGAAAGUCAAUGUACAAUUUGCUUGUUUCUGUUAGAUUAGGUUCUAUCUUUGAGCUCUUAGUAAACAUGCACAUACUCACACUCAAACACACACACAUGCCUUAACCUACUUCCCCUAGAAACAAACUGGAGGAAGGAGAGAAUCCUCAGGAACAAAUUCAGUGAUACCCCAGGUGCUGUUUCCCCAAGUCUUGCCCCUGACACAGGAGAACCUGGUGUGAUUCAAGGACUUUGGAGGAGAAAAAGGCUGAUCCUACAAUCCGGAGAGCAAAUCGGUGGCCUGGGUGUCAAUGCACCCUGUGGAUGGAUUCUGUUUGCUCUGCCAGCCUUGAUUUGCCUACUGAUUUUGUUGUUGUUGUUGUUUUAUUUGAGACACGGUUUGACUCUUGUUGCCCAGGCUGGAGUGCAAUGGCACAAUCUUGGCUCACUGCAACCUCUGCCUCCCAGGUUCCAGUGAUUCUCCUGCCUCAGCCUUCCAAGUAGCUGGGAUUACAGAUGCCUGCCCCUACGCCUGGCUAAUUUUUUGUAUUUUUAGUAGAGACAGGGUUUCUCCAUGUUGGCCAGACUGGUCUCAAACUCCUGACCUCAGGUAAUCCACCCGUCUCGGCCUCCCAAAGUGCUGGGAUUACAGGCGUGAGCCAUUAUGCCUGGGUUUGCCUACAGUUUUUAAGAAAUUUUAAUUCAUUUUUAACAUUUAAAAAUGUAGAGCUUUCACAAACUUUUCUAGGUUUCUGAGUUCUCUUGAAAGAUGAAGAGAGCUGACUGACAUCACAGAGUCUAAUUUCUGUACAGCCACAGUCACCUGGAGCCAAGUUGUAGCUGGGAAAAGAACUGGGAUUCCCACUUCCCAGCCUCCACGGUGUUUCCCCAAACAGAAACACAGGAUCCAUUGGCAUUUGUCACUACCCUUAUGUGGCUGUUUUCCUUAGAGUUAAAAGGAGAUCAAGGUAUUUUUUUAUAUCAACAUCUCUAUCUAAUGUGGGAAAGUGAAUGGCAGAUUAGGAUAGGCAUGUAUUUAAAGAAAAAGGAGAGGAAACCAUAAGCCUAAUUCUGUGUGGGAAUAAAGACUAUGCAUUUGUGUUUGGUUUAAAGUAAGGUUCUCACCUGGUCCCUGUGGGCAUUUGAGAUUGACACCCUGGUCUAAAGUUACUGACGAUGUCUGGAAAUUGGUCUUUAGGCUCUGUUUUCAUUCCCAUAGUUCCAGGUGGCUUCCUUAGUACUUGGCCCAUUGCCAGGCAUGUAGGAGAUGUGCCGAAAAAUAAAAUGCAUAAUGAACUAAAAUUACAUUGCACCCUUUUCCCCUCUUCAUUUGAACAGAUUUCUGGGCACCACCUACCCCAUGGUACCAUCCUCCUUUGUUGCUGAUUUAAGAAUCCUUUUAGAGCCUUUUUUGCAGUCUAUACAGCUUUACUUCAGGACCAAUCAGACUGGAAAGAGCCUGAUAAUGGGAUCACAUAGAUACUUUAGUGACUGGUUUGAUAAAGUAUUCACUUAGAGACCAGCCAAACUUAGAUUUAAAUUCCAACUUUGCCACUCAUUGUCUUAACCUGGGUUUCCCAAGAGCAGGGCCUGAGAUAAAGAUGUGUGUGGAGGCUUAUUAAGGAAUGUGAUCCCUGGAAUAAGGGGCGGGAAAGUGAAGAGGGAAGGAGGAAAAAGCAAUGCAAGGAAGCCUGAACUGCUGCAGGCAAUUGGUUACCUCAUACAGGAGCUUCCGAGGAGCCUUCUGGAAUGUGUGUUGCAUUCAUCGGCCAGCAACAAUGGCCUUUACCAGCUCCUGCCCACAGCCCCGGGGUAUAUCAAUAUCCUCAUGCAACCAAAGGAAGCCAGAGAAAGUGGCAAGGCCAAGAAGAUGUGAGGUGCUGUGCAAAAGAUGUCCUAUACAAUGACCUUGGUUGAAUUACUUCAUGUCUCAAAACCUCAGUUUCUCCAUCUGUAAAAGGGUAAAACAUUAGUGUUUCCCUUUUAGAGAUGAAGGGAGGAGGUAAUGAAAUAAUUCAUGUAAAGCCUAAUAAAAUGCAUAGCACAUAGUACAUGUUAAUAAAUGGCGAUUUCUAAUAUUCUAAGAACUGUGCAUCCUGGAGGACUUUAUCUGAGAGCUUAUAGCAAAAAUCAAUGAAAGUGAACAAUAGUAAUUACAGUCUCAGCAUUCGCCUAACGAGAUGGCAAACUGGCUGCUACUAAGCCAAUUCUGUCUCAUAAACGUGUUCUUUUGCACCCUCCCCAUGCUAUAUAUGUGUAUACGACAUAUAAUAUAUGUAUAACAUAUAUUUUUAACAGAAAUUGAUUUUUUGCCAACACUUAAAUUUCAUAAAAUUUCAAUAAAAUAAGAUUUCUAGCUUAACCUUGACAAAUAGAAAGAUUUGGCCCCGCCGGGCUAGUAUUCCCACAGCCAGCUACAGUUGAGUAGUGGUGACACUUUCAGCUGGGGCACAUCUUCUCCAAUUAUCCACCAUCCCUCUGUGUCCACUUCACCCAUUCACAACCUGUCUGCCCCCAUCGACAUUUGCAUUUGAAGCCCCUAGUCUGAUCUUUAACCUAGAAAAGCAGGGUCCCUGGAAACUCAGCCAGGACCCAGGGACAGAAAAUGCCUGGAAACAACAAGGUUUUGUUUUCCAGUAAGAAAGCAGAAGAGCCACACGAGGGCCAGGGCCGUGGGACUCAAUGUCCCUGUGAUGGAGAGCUAAGUGGAUCCUGCUGAGGUGAGAGUGUGUGGUUCCAGCGAGGCUGGCUAUUACCAACCUGAGGCUGAGGUCACCCCAGCUGCUCCUGGCGCCUGCAACUCUGUUUAUUUCAUUCUGGUUCAUACCAGAGAUUUAUUUUUAUGAACAGUGAACAUUUUUUGUAACAUUCCCUCAUUUAACCUUCAUUAUCAAAGUCUCUGCCCAAAGCCCAUAUAAGCACCAUUAUUGCCCAUAUAACAUUUUCCAACACAAACCAUUUAAGGCAUUUUUUUCCAUUUUUAUUUAUUUCUCUUCUGUUACAUUUCAUUUGAAAUGUGCAUGGGGGAGAAUGUGUCUUGUUUUUAUGUUGUCUCAUACAGACCAUAAGCCCUAAUGGUGGGGGCUGCCUAUUUUGGAGGUUAAUAAGCAAUGGGGACAUUCGUCAUAUGGAACAAACAACCAGGAUAUGCUGGCCUCUUAAAAAAGGACUAGAAAGGAGUUGUGUAUGACUGAGGAAAUUGAAAAGAAAAUAACCCAGCUUUUUUGUGUCUUCUGAAAGCCUAGAAAACAAGAAGCAUGGUGGCUCCAGAGCAGGAAGCUGGGAGUAUUAGGAGCACAGUGCUGUAGGCUUGCUUCUCAGAUCACCCAUUAAUAAGCAGAUUCUCCAUGGAGGGUGACAGUAUGCCACGUAUCCCUGAAUCCUCCAUACCUGGCCACUGUCUGGUCCACGGUGGGUAAUUAAACAGUUUAUACUAUGGAUCUUAGAAACUCAAAUGACAUAAGAAAAAUUAGUAAUAUAUUGGCUCACAUAGUUGGAAAGUUCAAGUUCUUCAGGCAUAGCUGUAUGCAAAAACUAAAAUAGUGUCUGCUAUGAUCUGAAUGUGUCCCCCAAAAUCCAUGUAUUGAAAUGUAAUCUGCAUUGUGCUAUUAAGAGGUAGGGCAUCAUGAUGGCCCCGCUCUCAUGAAUGGUUUAGUGCCUUAUCAAAGGGCCAGAGGCAACUAGCUUAGACCUUUUUUACUCUUCUGUUCUUUGGCCAUGAAGGUACAUAGAUUUUGUCUCCUUUUUGCCCUUUUGCCAUGUGAGGAUGCCACCAUGAGGAGACCCCAUGGAUGGACAGCAGGCCCUCACCAAACACCAAAUCUUCUGGCACCUUUGUCUUGGAUAUCCUGGACUUUGGAAGGUUUCCUUGCGGCACAGACGAAGAUUUGAGGGAAUCGUCGAGAUAACCUCUCAUGGCUUCCUCAAUGGGUUUCAAGGAGAACAGCCGCAACUGCAGCUUCCGAUUGGAGAAGGCAGGUCAAGGCAUGUUGAGCUUCACGGAAUCAGGCAAUUUGGAAGCUGUAGGGGUCCAUAUCCUAUCACCUUUCUUCCUAAAGGACUUGCGCUAUACUAUAAAUUGUUCUCCUUGAACGAUAUCCGAGUCAACAUCCCAUCAAUUAAACUUGAGGAAAGAGGUUGUGUUGGGAGGAGAAAGGAAGAGAUGCUUUUUGUCACCAGGCUGGCUGGUAAAAUGAAACUUGGCAUGUGACCAGGGAGGAGGCUCUCUCUGAGGCUGUUUCCUUGGCUACCGAAGGGGAGAGACACCUGUCCAUUUCUAUGUCUUAGACAUGUUGUGAGGGUAAAAUGGAAUAACUAAAAGUAAAAUGGCAUGAAAAAAUGUAGACCAGGGUUUCCAUUGAAACGUCAGGAUUUUCUCUUGCCCUUUCUCUUCAUUGCCCUCAGGACAAAAUGAAUACUCUUUGAAAGUGGUCAACAAAGCCCAACCAGCCUCUCAUCCUGGUCACUCUUCUCUUCAUCCCUUAUCAGCCACACUGGAUGGUCCCCCAAGCACUUUCCCACUUCAUUGCCUUUGUAAAUACUCUCUGCGUUCCUGGAGCUGUGCUCCCUGCUCUCAUCCAGGCUGGACUCCCCUUCAGCUGAGUGAUUCCUACUUAUCCUCCUGGUCUCAACUUUGAUGAUGCUUCUUCUACAAAGCCUUUCCUGAGCCUCACUUCUCUCAAAUACCUAGAACUAAGUUUAAUUGGUCGUUUAACUACAUAUAUCCCCUGCCAAUUAUAAAUUACUCAAAUAGAAGAAUCUGCCUUUUCACCCUCACAGAUAUCUCUGGCUGCUAACAGAGUCUAAUACUCAAUAAAUGCUUGUUUACACCUACUAUAUACUCACACAAAUUAAAAACAAAAAUUAAAUUUAAAAAAAUAAAUAAAAUAAAUGCUUAUUGAAUGAAUAACUGACAAAUGAAUAAAUGCAUGCUUUCAAUACAAGUUCCUUGAUAUAGGUCCUUUUUUUUUUUUUUCUGUGAGACGGAGGCUUGCUCUGUCGCCAAGCUGGAGUGCAGUGGUGCAAUCCCGGCUCACUGCAACCUCCACCUCCUGGCUUCAAGUGAUUCUUCAGCCUCAGCCUCCCUAGUGGCUGGGACUACAAGUGCACGCCACCACACCCAGCUAAUUUCUGUAUUUUUUAAGUAGAGAUGGGGUUUCAUUAUGUUGGCCAGGAUGCUCUCGAACUCUUGACCUCGUGAUCCACCCGCCUCGGGCUCCCAAAGUGCUGGGAUUACAGGCGUGAGCCACCGCGCCCAGCCUGAUAUAAGUCCUUCUUGGGGAACUCAAGUAUAGAAACAUUUAGUGAAUAUACAAGAGAAAACUGUUUAGUGGAGUUAGUCAUUUUAAUCAAGGAAGACUCUGAAGCUUAAAUCUUCACUUCAAUGUUAUUAUUAUAACCACUAUUUUAUAAUAGCAGUAUAUCAUAGAACUCAGAUUUAUCUAUUCUAACUAUAUGCUAAGCAAUUUGCUAAAUGCUUUGUACAUAUUCGUGUUUUCCAUCUUUCCUCAAACUUUAUGAAAUAUAUACUAGUUUCUAUCCUCAUUUAAAAACAAGAAAACAAAACCAGAGAGGUUGAGUGAAUUGUCCAAUGUCACCCAACUAUUAGAGAGUAGAGUCGUAAUUUAAAUCCAAGGCUUCCAGGGCCUAGUGUCUGAAUUGUUAAAAAUUAUUGCUCUUCUGCUUCCCCUGCCAGAUAGGCAAACACCAAAGUCUUUUGGGUCCCCAGAGUGCAGAAAAACUAGAUUAAAUACAAUCCUGGAUGAAUUCUCGACUUGAGGGUCUGUGUCUUUCCCCAGCAUCUUCUCAUUCACGAAUAAGAUUCCCCUAUCAAGUUGUUCUAAUCACAGCUUGCUUCUCUCCUCCCAAAGCCAGGGCAACUAUCUCUCCCCCGAAUCCCUAUCUGAACUGCUGAGUUUAUGUUUUAAUACAAUUACGUAGCUUCCACUCCCCCACAGAUCCUCUUUUUUCUUCAUUUGCUUCCAAUAAAGAGACAUUAUUUGCUUGGGAGCUUUCCAGGGUAACAUGAAUCCAUCUUUUGAAAACUAGUCCUUGCAUCUGGGAAAUUGAAUGAUGUUUUGGUGUUUGCUUAGCAAAAGAGUCGGUCUAUGGAAACAGCAUUGUUAUUUUAUUAUCUUUAAUGCUUUUACGCCAUAUUAAACAGAUUUCAUUUCCAAAGAACUUUCUCACUGCCCAUCCCUGCUUUUUAAACGGACAAGUCACUUUCUACUUUCAAACUGGUUGCCUUCAAAAGAUGCCACUGAGCACUGAUUUGGCCACUUAGCUGAAUUAACCAUGUGAUCCAUCUGUACCUUCCUUCCCUGCUCUCACAAAACAUGUGUUGCCUUUAACAUAAUGAGAAGCCCUUUUCUGAUCAGACCACUUCUUGUAAAAUUAAAUACACACACAUCCCAGAACCCCAAAUCCAUCAUAUGAAUAAAACGGCACACUCUCUCAAUCCAGACAGCAGUUCUUUUCAAAAUGAGAUGUCUGACACUACCUAAUCCAUGAACCAAAGAGAUUUUUGAUCACCCUAGUUUUUCCCAGUAUUGCUUUUUAUUCUUUGCAUCAAUAAAUGUUGUAGCUGGGGAUGCUUACAGUGCCAGCAUGUGAUAGCUUCAGUAAUCAUCUCAUCCGGAGACCAAGAUACUGCUCUAUUUCUUUACACCCCAGGUAAGAUUUUGAACCUUGGGAAAGCUAAACACAGCUGGUGUUCUCUAUCCCUGAAUAAAGG
RNAcentral lists this long non-coding RNA (10258 nucleotides) under Homo sapiens (human). RNAcentral describes it as "HSALNT0330450". Lineage: Eukaryota; Metazoa; Chordata; Mammalia; Primates; Hominidae. The record is from RNAcentral.